ACGAACGCUGGCGGCGUGCUUAACACAUGCAAGUCGAACGGAAAGGCCCUUCGGGGUACUCGAGUGGCGAACGGGUGAGUAACACGUGGGUGAUCUGCCCUGCACUUUGGGAUAAGCCUGGGAAACUGGGUCUGAUACCGAAUAGGACCACGCGCUUCAUGGUGUGUGGUGGAAAGCUUUUGCGGUGUGGGAUGGGCCCGCGGCCUAUCAGCUUGUUGGUGGGGUAAUGGCCUACCAAGGCGACGACGGGUAGCCGGCCUGAGAGGGUGACCGGCCACACUGGGACUGAGAUACGGCCCAGACUCCUACGGGAGGCAGCAGUGGGGAAUAUUGCACAAUGGGCGCAAGCCUGAUGCAGCGACGCCGCGUGAGGGAUGACGGCCUUCGGGUUGUAAACCUCUUUCAAUAGGGACGAAGCGCAAGUGACGGUACCUAUAGAAGAAGCACCGGCCAACUACGUG
Molecule: ribosomal RNA, 461 nt
Filed under: uncultured bacterium
Lineage: Bacteria
Description: partial 16S ribosomal RNA
Rfam family: Bacterial small subunit ribosomal RNA
Source: RNAcentral